AGGAGGGGGGCAGCUACACAUGCAGUCGAGCGGGGAGAUGUAGCUUGCUACAUUUCCUAGCGGCGGACGGGUGAGUAAUGCUUAGGAAUCUGCCUAUUAGUGGGGGACAACAUUCCGAAAGGAAUGCUAAUACCGCAUACGCCCUACGGGGGAAAGCAGGGGAUCUUCGGACCUUGCGCUAAUAGAUGAGCCUAAGUCAGAUUAGCUAGUUGGUGGGGUAAAGGCCUACCAAGGCGACGAUCUGUAGCGGGUCUGAGAGGAUGAUCCGCCACACUGGGACUGAGACACGGCCCAGACUCCUACGGGAGGCAGCAGUGGGGAAUAUUGGACAAUGGGCGAAAGCCUGAUCCAGCCAUGCCGCGUGUGUGAAGAAGGCCUUUUGGUUGUAAAGCACUUUAAGCGAGGAGGAGGCUUCUUGGAUUAAUACUCUAGGAUAGUGGACGUUACUCGCAGAAUAAGCACCGGCUAACUCUGUGCCAGCAGCCGUGGUAAUACAGAGGGUGCGAGCAUUAAUCGGAUUUACUGGGCGUAAAGCGUGCGUAGGCGGCUUCUUAAGUCGGAUGUGAAAUCCCUGAGCUUAACUUAGGAAUUGCAUUCGAUACUGGGAAGCUAGAGUAUGGGAGAGGAUGGUAGAAUUCCAGGUGUAGCGGUGAAAUGCGUAGAGAUCUGGAGGAAUACCGAUGGCGAAGGCAGCCAUCUGGCCUAAUACUGACGCUGAGUACGAAAGCAUGGGGAGCAAACAGGAUUAGAUACCCUGGUAGUCCAUGCCGUAAACGAUGUCUACUAGCCGUUGGGGUCUUUGAGGCUUUAGUGGCGCAGCUAACGCGAUAAGUAGACCGCCUGGGGAGUACGGUCGCAAGACUAAAACUCAAAUGAAUUGACGGGGGCCCGCACAAGCGGUGGAGCAUGUGUUUAUUCGAUGCACGCGAGACUUACUGUCUGACUAGUAGACCUUCAGAGAUGAUGAUGCUCGGGACUACAUACAGUGCUGCAUGCUGUCGUCAGCUCGUGUCGUGAGAUGUU
RNAcentral lists this ribosomal RNA (1023 nucleotides) under uncultured bacterium. RNAcentral describes it as "bacterial SSU rRNA". It matches the Rfam family "Bacterial small subunit ribosomal RNA", at positions 37 to 1076 of the family's 1533-position model. The record is from RNAcentral.